This 4941-nucleotide long non-coding RNA is filed under the name Homo sapiens (human). RNAcentral describes it as "HSALNT0241982". Lineage: Eukaryota; Metazoa; Chordata; Mammalia; Primates; Hominidae. The record is from RNAcentral.
UUGUUGUGUUUUAUAGUCCGAGCGCCGCGCCUAUUAGUAGUAUAUCCGAGAUUGGGUUUUAGCUGAGGGGGGAUGGCGAGGUGCCAGUGAGGGCCAGAAGGAAAUACAACCAUCUGAUCCAACACUGACCAAUGGCAGAGGCAGGAAUUGUCAAAUAGCACCCAGGAGGAGCGCAGCCCGCACGAGGGACCCGCGCACAAACCUAUCAACCUUUUUUUUUUUCCUCCUUCUCCUUCGCCUUUCUCCUCUCUCCCCCCAACAACACAACGCGUCCUGUUCCACCUACGUAGGAUCUGUGAAACAGGCUCAGUGCCUUUGAGGGAGGAGGGAACGUUUAGAUUGAGACCACCCCACUCCCGGGUGAUUAAAUAAAUAUGUCUCUCCCCCACCCCACGCAGGAUUGGAAAAAGUUAAUUGUGUUUUCAGAAAAGUUAACCCCUGCGUUGCUUCGACCCCUUCUCUCCGGGGAGGGUUGGGUAAAUGUCUCCGAAUCGCCUUGAGAGAGAACUAAAGAAGGUUUGUUUCUAGGGUUUUGUGUCGGUAGAAGGUGAGAAGAGUUCUCCGCUAAGAUAAGCAAAGAAGAAACACCCUCCUCCCCAGGUUUUGAACAUCGUUUUUCCUGUUUAUCAGAUCUGCUCUGUCUCCUCCAAGCCUCGGCUUAUUGUUCCUGCUUCUCCACAACCCUUCUGGUCUGAGGGGGCAGGCCAGAUCCCACUGCCUAGAAGACCCAGAAGAGGAGGAGCUGGCAGGAGGGACUGAGCCCAAGCUUCCCCUUCUGACUCUGUGGCUAGACUAGGAGCUUCUUGGAAGGCGGCGACGAGGGUGGCUGCCCAAAACAUUCUGCCUGGUUCUAGUAUGCAGCUGCUCACCCUUGGCAGGGGAAGGGGCACUGGGGAAAGGGACUAGCCCUCUCCUCACUUGGUGAUAUGGAGUGAAGGAGUGAGGGGUAUCCCUCAGCCUAGGUGGCUUUAUUUGUCUGAUCCCUAUCCUGCCUGCAACCCUCACUCCAGUACCCUCUACAAUCCCAAAAGACUUAAGAAUAGCCUGGGCUAUAGGAUUUUCAGGAAUCAGGGAUGUCCCAGUAAAUCUGGGCACAAGGAAGAAAUCAUUCUUCUUCCAGUUGUGGGCUUUGAACCCUCCUGAUAGUUGAGGCAGUCAGAGACCACUGGGAAGAAAUGCAUCCUCACUCCUCUUCUAAGUCUCUGUAGGAGCUGCCAGUUCUUUUUAAAAUUAAUUCUUUCCCAAGACUUGGUUUUUGCUUUAGUUUGAUAGGGAGAGAAGGUCGUUUGCGUUCUCUUGGGGACUCAGCAGGCUGCUUCCAGCCAUCAGCCAGCAUCCCCUCUCCCUUCUGUCUGUAUCUCAGCAUCGCUACAAUUCCCUCCCACACCCCGUGUUUGUAUCAUCAGCUUUGCCGCCUUACAAAUUUAGGUGUGUCAGAGAAUGUAUGUCUCUGGCUCUUUCAUCCAAGGAAAAUAAGCAUUGAGCCCAGGCUGGGAGACAGGGCCACAGUGCAUUCCCAACAUUCUAAUAUACAUACACAGGCCAAGUAGUGAAGGGUGACAACCUUCACACCUGGGGACAAGAAGGGGCCAGGGCAUGGAACAAAGUCAGAUGUCAGGCCAGGCUGACCCUCCUCUGCCUUGUCCUUCCUUUGGGCUCCUUUUUCUGGCCAAGUUCUGCCCACUGAAGAUGGUACAAGACACUAGGGAAGGUGGCAGGGGACUGAGCUUGGAUCACCAAGGGUGGGAACUUAUUUGGUUGCAACGUGGUCUCCAAGGCUCUCUAAACUCAGGGCAACUUCUUGGCUGUACCUUAAUGGCAAAAUAGCCAUCCCUAGAUGGCCUCCAAUUACUUCCUAACCUGACUCUGUGGGAGUGUUUGAUAAGCAUUUAAGAAAACAAAUUUAAACCCCCUGAUAAUGAAGAAGGAUAAAUAUUCCAUAUCUAGGUAUGGCUGGGCUUGCUUCUAGAGAGGACUAGGGGCCAUUUGAACAGGGGGAGAAAAGUGGGAGAGAGUACCUGCAUGCACCUCCCUGCCUACUGCUGAGGCUGAGCCCUGGGCCUCAGCCUUCCCUGCCUCCUCCCUGCCCACAAUGUCUCCAUCCUAGCACUAAAUAGUGUGGUUUUCUCAGUGAAGUCUGAACAAAAUAAGAUCUGGUGAGGAAGGGAGCAUUUCCCUGUGUCAGAAGCAGGGAAAUAAUUGCCUUAUCUUUAGAGUCACAGCCCCCAAAUUAACCUCACCUCUGCAGGUUGCUUGUCUGGAGAUGGAGCCACUACAGGCGGGCCUGGGCGCCUGGAGUCGGGCAUGAAAGAAAAUAGCGCCUCAUCGCUCUUAUCUAAGCCCAGAGGUAGACUUCGCUUGAAAAGAUCGAGAAUGGAGGAGGGGAUCGGCACUCACUUGCAGACAUCAACAGUUUCCAGAAAAUUCGGUUCAAUUCCUUCACCACGGACCCACCAACCAAGGAGCUGGCAAAACCCACUAACCAACCAGGAGAACACAGACCCGGUUUGUCUUUUGACAACCGAGUGGAACUGACGGGGCCGGCGCCUGCCCUGCGGGUCCCCUCCCUUGGCUGAGAAGAAAACCAAAUAAACCUUGAACAGCCUUGGCUUCGGAUGUCUCAAGCGGCCUCAUCCUCUCCCGCGCCUUGGUGGGGUGGGGGUGGGGAUGGCGGUGGGGGUGUCGGCUCUGAUCCCUCCACCCUUUGAUUCAGGGCCCCUGCCCGCUGGAAGCAGAAUUAGACCUUUUUAUAUAUGCCCUAGAGGAAGCCGCUUCCCUUGCCAGCCGCCAGGUUUGGGGCUAGGAUGGGCGGGGACGGGGGCAGUGGGAAAUUGGGGAUGAUGGGUGGAGGAGAGACUUCUGUUCUCUAACUCACACCGGGGAACCAAGAUCUAGCUGAGAGCGUCGGUGUGGGCCCGAAAUCCCCCGAAUCCCGUGGACCCUGCGAGGCCGGGGCUCCAGGCGUCGGGCACCUCUGGACAGUGUCGCGGGGCUUGCGGCGCCGAAGCCGCGUGUCUCCGAACGGACGGUAGAUGGCAGCAGACCGCAUAAUUUGGGUCACAGCGAACUGUCUAAGGGAGGAUUUAUAACCCUCCAAGACUACAGGAGAAAAAGACCUUUAGUAUGGGUGGGUUUGGGAAAUUUUUCCCUUGAGAAUAGUCCCCGAGUGCCGUGGGUGCUGGCGGAGAACUCUAGCUACGAAGCCCAGCGGUCCCUCCAGGCGCCCAGGCCGGGCCUGAACCUAGGGCAUCUACCUGGGGCCACAGAGCCGCCUCUUCCGCGCCACAAGUGGCAGCGUCGUCCCUCUCCUAGCUUAGGACUGAGAUAAUAAAUAUAUCCCCACUUCCAAAACGCCCCAGACCCUGUAACUCCGGGGCAACCAGAGGCCCGAGGCUGAAUGUCCUGCAUCUGGUCUUAAGAAAGAGAAAAGCAAUCACAUGUUCGUGCAAACCAGACUAAAAAUCACAAUUUCUCCUGCCCUCCACAGCCAACAUCACUUAUCUCUUGGCUGGAAGCUUCCCCAGAAGCUCCCUUACCCCAUUUUUAAGUCCUUGCCUCAAGGCUGGCACCUACUUCCACCCCACGAGCUACUUUAGGAAUCUCUGUCACCUGCCCAAUGUUCUCCGCCCUCCCCACCCCCUAGAAGGCCUGACUGAGGGAUAAAAUUGGACACCCGAGGGACGGGACUGUCUGAGCUCAGUGCCAGUUAGCUUUUCAGUUUAGACGCCGCUAGGUCCCAUAAUUGGAUUUUCUUUUUAUUUUCUUCUUUCAUUUCUUUCUCUUUUAUUUUUAUUUACAAGCCUAAAACAAAAAGGCACUUAACAGCUUCUUCACAAUCACCAUGUCUGGACCCAGGAAAGUUUGAAAUGUUAUCAUAUCAGACACACACAUGGCAAUUUUUUCCUCCACCGAAAUCCACACAUCCCAUACCAAUACAACGCAAGUAAUAGAAUCAGUAUCACGCAGAAACCAACAGCUGUAACCUACCGCAUUAAAACCACAAAACUGUCUCCCUGUAGAGCGAGGCUCCCUCCUGCGGGAGUGGCGAGAUACUUGGGCAUUCUCGGGCAGGCUUCCUGCCGUUUCCUCUCCCUCGCCGGCCUCGGCGGAGAUUCCAGGCCCUAUAGAAACCAGGACGUCCCUUAGCGCCACCGCCUCACAUGCCAGUGCUGCCGGGAACCCAGCGAUAUCCGCACCAGCGGAGAAGGUUCCAGGCUGCCGGCGGCGGCGCAGAGAGCGGGAAGAGAGGCUCGGAGGAAGCCCCGGGCGUGGCGUGGUCAGGCUCCGAGAGCGGCCGGGAUGCGGCCACACCGGCCUGGUAAACUCGCACCUCUUAGGAUCUUGCUCCCGGACUCAUUCCCUUCCCCACCCCCUAUUUUAAAGUUUUAUUUGGGUCGUCUGUAUCAAUUUAGAACGAGAUAAAUUAAGACAAAGAAAGUAAAAUAAAUCGAAAUAAAAUAUAGGAAUAGCUCUUGGCGAAAAUGUUUGCCGUGCGAGCAGGAAGCCGUGAGCGCCCUAGUUGGAGGCUGCUCUGCGCCGACUAAGAGGCCUCUACUCCCAGGCCUGGCCUCUACGCAACGCCACCCAAGAAGCCAGAGUGAAUUUGGGUGUUCAUUUUCCCUUUCCUUCCGCUCUUCCUUCAUGUGGGGCCUAGCAGCUUGGAUUUCAGCUCCGUCUUUGUGCCUGGGCUGCAGCCCAGAUCCAGAUCCCGCAGCUUGGUUUCCAGGCCUGAAUGAGGACGCGGGUUUGUGAAACUGUGAGGUUUUUGUUUUGUUGUUUUGUGAGCUUGUGUGACUAAGCAUGUGGGCUUCUGAGUGCGUUUACUUGGGGGCAAAUGUGAAUCUGUGUUUAUAAGCCAAUGUGUGAAUGUACGUUGGUAUCAAUGUGUCUGUGAGUGUGAAUGUGUGUUUACUUGUGAGCGUGUGUGAACAUGAAUGCCUA